GCCAGCCUGAGUUUCAUAGCAUGAUCCUGUCAGAGAGAGAGAGAGAGAGAGAGAGAGAGAGAAGAAAAAAGAAACAGGAUGUAUGUGAUUCAUGGGUUCUGGUUGUUUUGUUGGUUUUUUUCUUCAAAAUUAAUAGUUUUCCUGAUACAGCCAUCUUGCUUUUGGAAAAGAAAAAUGUUUCUACUUUCAUUGGCUAGAGAAGAUUAAAAGAGUGUCCAUCACCCCCUCCACCCCGAGGAGGCUGUCUGUCUGGAAGAAAAGAAAAUUUUAUGCUAGAUUUAAGUUGAUGAUAAAUAAAUGUUUUAUGAGUGGGGAAAGGACGGGUUUAUAGAAGUGACUGGAUCAAUCAAAAUGGAAAUGGCUAGGCCCUGACGGCGCCUGCCUUUAAUCCCAGCACUCGGGAGGCUGAGUUUGAGGCCAACCUAUUCUACAGUUCCAAGACAGUCAGGGAUACACAGAAAAACCCUGUCUCAAAAAAAGAAAAGAAAAGAAAAAGAAAAAGAAAAAGAAAAAGAAAAAGCAUUAAAGAGCACCAUCACCCCUGGGGCGGACUACAGAGGCCUGGUGGCUGUCACUACUAAGUCACUCAUUACGAGUUAAACCCAUGUGUCUACCACUGGCCCCUCUCCAUUGUACCAUAGGAAGCAGGCAGGACCUUUGGACUUCCCUGGUUGCUUAGAAAACCAAGUCACAGAGCCACAGAAAAGUAGCAACUUUGCCAAGGCCUUAGGCUAAAUUAGGCUGAAUUGAAAAUGGAACCCUAAAGCCUGGCAUGGUGGCACACGCCUGUAAUCUCAGCACUCUGAGAGGAAGAGUCAGGAGGACCUCUGAGCUCCAGGCCAGCCUGUAUUCUCCCCUUUAUCCCAGCACUUGGGGAGUGGAGACCGGAGCAGCAAGAGUUCAAGGCCAGCCUGAGCUACAUGAGACCCUGUCACUUAUAAAAAUACAUUUUAUCCUAUUUGCUAUAUGUGUGUGGAUGCUGAUUGUAUGUGUGUGUGGGGGGCAUGACAGACUCGUGGAGGUCAAAGAACAGCUUGCUUGAGUCUGUUCUCCUCCCACCGUGUGGGUCCUGCGACUCGAACUCAGGUCAUCAGACUCAGAGGCAGCAUCCUUUACCCCACAGAACCAUCCCAUUGGCUUCUUCAACACGUGUUUUUAUGCUCUGAGUGAACUCUGAGGGAAAAAAAAGCCUGUUUACCAUCUUAUGCCUAUGCGUAAUUGGGCAUUACAGGUAGGGACCUGCUCAGUAAGGAAAAGCUUAUAUAAUCCAUGCUUGUCAUUCUAAACAGAACUGCCCUUCAACACCCACUUGUAAGUGACUCCUCCUGAAACUCAUAAAAGGAAGCCACCACUGAGGAACCAAGGGCCCCCACCCCGGUAACAGAUUCAGGAAGCUGCAACCAACGAAAUUGAGGCAGUUGAGUUUACCAUCCUGCGAUGCUGGGUGGCAAAUAAAAGGCAAGUACAUUGACCGAGUGCAGAGAACAGCUUCUGUUGUUUGUUUUUAUUUUUUUAGAUGUACUUGAUAUGUUUGAGCCUCUUGCCUGUCUGUAUGCCAGUGCACCCCGUACAUGCAGUGCCUACAGAGGCCAGAAGAGGGCAUCAGAUACCCUGGAAUUGGAGUUACAGACGGUUGGGAGCCGCCAUCUGGGUGUGGCAAACCAGACCUGAAUCCUGUUGUGGGUAGAAACAUGUUUUUGUUCUGGUCCCAGGUGUGGGUUGUGGGACUGAUUUGCAUGGUCCACAGCAGCAAACUAUUUACCUCAUGUGGGCUCUGAGGGAAGCUCUUUGCCAGUUGCAGGUAGUUUAAUUCUGAGGACUCUGCAAAGAGAAUAAAUGCCGGAAGCCAGAGAGUGAGGAGCUGGGAGAAAGAACAAGGCUACUGUUGCUUCCCCCUCUUCAGCUCCUGAUGCUGUUGUUGCAGUGAUACAAGAAGGUGGAGAUCUCCUGAAACAAGGAUUGGACUGGCUCCAAGGAACCCGACGACCCUAACCAGCAGGAAGCUAAGAGAACUGCACCCUCUUUCCCACUAACCCUUUCUCUUUCUUACCUGGUAUUGGGGUGUUGGCAGGGGUUGGGGUGGAGGAGGGGGAAAAAGAUAAAAGAAAUGUAAAUAAGAGUUUUUAAAACUAACAUCUACAGAAUUCUCUACAAGAGCAGCUCUUAACCAUUGAACCAUCUCUCCACCCUCCUCAGAAAAUAGUUUUUAAUGGCUCUGAGUGCAGGUCCCCUGCUUUUAUUCUUCGCUGGCUGAGUGAUCAGGGAUGCAGCCUUACAUGUCAUCACCACUCAAGUUUGCCUGUUUCUCAACCAAGCCCCUGUGUGGGCUCCUCUCUGCCUUUCACACCCUGUGUAUUUUGAACCUUCCCAGGCCUUUUCAUGUGGGCAUUAGGCAAGACUGACUGUUAAUAAUUUUCUACUGUAAACUUCUAGUCUGGGUGGGGGUAGACUGGCAUGCACCAGCAGGGCCUACUGCUUCCUGUCCUCCUGUGGCUGGGCCUCAGCUGACUUCAGCCGCUUCUGUGGUGGACAUGGACCCUUAUAUGCUUCCUCCAAGGGGCUGGAGAGGUGUCCCAGUGGUUAAGAGCGCUGCCUGCUCUUGCAGAGGACCUGGAUUCAGUUUCCAGCACCCACAUGGUAGCUCACAGCCAUCUGUAACUCCAGGUCCAGGGAUCUGAUCUCUCUUCUGACCCACGUGGGCACCAGUACAUACAUGGCACAUAGACAUAGAUGCAGGCAAAAUAUCCUUAUACCUAAAAUAAAGAAAUAAAAUUUAAAACAAUUUUUUUUUUCUUUACACAUUCCCCAAGCCUCCCAAAGAGAAAGCCUCGAGAGUUGACCGGAAGGCUUAGAAAAUAAAGGUGCUUGGUGCCAAGCCUAAUGUCCUGGGUUCAAUCCCCCAAGAGCACACGGUGAACAUAGGAAACCUACUCCUAUGAACUGUCCUCUGAGUUUCAUGUGUGCUCACACACACACCUGGAUUAUUUUAUGUGUAAAGUGUUUUGCUUGCAUGUAUGUAUGGUGAUUAAGGAGGGCAUCAGAGCCCCUGGAACUGGAGUUAUGGACAGGUCAUGAGCCACAUGUGGGUGCUGGGAUUCCAUUCCUCUUCAAUAACAAGACAUGCUCUUAGCCAAUGAGCCACUCCCUACUCCCUGUUUUAAUUUUUUUUAGAAGUGGCACAGACUCAGAGACAAACAGGAAAAAGUCAUGGGGCAAAGGUUGGCCUGACAAUGUGACAGGAUGAGGAACACCAAAGCCAGUCUGCAACCUGGGAAGGAUUGCCGGUGACCCUGGAAACUGGAGGAAAAGCCAGUGAUGGGACUUCCCGUUGCUGCGAUCUGAACAAGACUCCUUUUUGUGGGAUGGAAAGUCAGCCCCCAACGCCUCUGCUGAGGGUAUCUGGAGGCUCAGGCUGACUCUUCAGACAAGGGCAAAAGGCGGCCACAUUCUUCAACCAAAAUAUCACAAGAAUGACCUCUAGGCAACGUAUUAAAAUUCUUCUCCUCUGAAACCUCUUGAGCCAGCGCCCACAGUUAAAUCACCCUCAGCAACCACGGUCUUCCAUGCUCCUACAAGGAUGGCCCAACAAGUAGCACUUAAAGCAUUUCAUUGCUUUCCUAACCCAAAGUCCCCAAAUUCAUAUUCCUCCAAACAAAAGCAUGGUCAGGCUUAUCACAGCAACACCCCAGUCCCUGGUGCCAAUUUGUGGCUUAAAUAAAAUUUACAUUGUUUUGAAGAGACA
Meriones unguiculatus (Mongolian gerbil) is the source of this 3742-nucleotide long non-coding RNA. RefSeq lists it as uncharacterized. NCBI's taxonomy places the organism in Eukaryota, Metazoa, Chordata, Mammalia, Rodentia, Muridae. The record is from RefSeq and is a predicted model, not a curated record. The transcript is spliced from 2 exons.